RNAcentral lists this transfer RNA (73 nucleotides) under Heliconius melpomene (postman butterfly). RNAcentral's name for it is "tRNA HMEL014061". It matches the Rfam family "tRNA". Rfam says of the family: Transfer RNA (tRNA) molecules are approximately 80 nucleotides in length. Their secondary structure includes four short double-helical elements and three loops (D, anti-codon, and T loops). Further hydrogen bonds mediate the characteristic L-shaped molecular structure. tRNAs have two regions of fundamental functional importance: the anti-codon, which is responsible for specific mRNA codon recognition, and the 3' end, to which the tRNAs corresponding amino acid is attached (by aminoacyl-tRNA synthetases). tRNAs cope with the degeneracy of the genetic code in two manners: having more than one tRNA (with a specific anti-codon) for a particular amino acid; and 'wobble' base-pairing, i.e. permitting non-standard base-pairing at the 3rd anti-codon position. The record is from RNAcentral. Lineage: Eukaryota; Metazoa; Arthropoda; Insecta; Lepidoptera; Nymphalidae.
GCAUUGGUGGUUCAGUGGCAUUCUAUGCUCGCCUGCCACGCGGGCGGCCCGUGUCCGAUUCCCGGCCGAUGCA